This is a long non-coding RNA of Xenopus tropicalis (tropical clawed frog), 295 nucleotides long. RefSeq lists it as uncharacterized. The transcript has 2 exons. NCBI's taxonomy places the organism in Eukaryota, Metazoa, Chordata, Amphibia, Anura, Pipidae. The record is from RefSeq and is a predicted model, not a curated record.
ACCACACUUUAUUCCAAACAAUGAGCAAGAACACCAUGGCAAAUUAUAAAACCAUCCCAAAUGAACUUUUGAACCAGACCAACACUGCCUUCAUGAGAAAGGGAGAGGCUGGUGACUGGAAGAAUCAUUUCACUGUUGCUCAGAAUGAAAUGUUUGAUACCCAUUACCAGAAAGAGAUGUUGGGGACAAGCCUACAUUUCAGGACUGAGAUCUGAGGCCUACAGAAACAAUUCGCCUGUCUUUUUAUACUAUGAAUCUAUGAAAGUUAUUUUAAUAAAGCAAAUGUGGAACAAAA